This is a non-coding RNA of Cinara cedri, 492 nucleotides long. NCBI's taxonomy places the organism in Eukaryota, Metazoa, Arthropoda, Insecta, Hemiptera, Aphididae. The record is from the annotation of a GenBank genome assembly.
GAUUUCUGAAAUUUAACCUGCUAGUAUAAAAAUUAAAUAAUAAUAAGAAACAAAUGCUGAUUAACACUUUUACAUGAUUUCAAUAUCUGUUUGAAUUUUUUUCGGCCACCAUUACUAAUGAAGUUAUUUGAAGUAUGAUUUAAUAUGAAUACACCUAGAAACCCAGUAGUCACUUACUUGCUGGAGAUUUUAAACUGAAAAGUGCAUGUGAGUAUAUGUGUAGGGUGGUAAUCACACUAAACUCAAUAUUAUGCAAAUUCAAAAUGCUGAUAACUCAAAAACUAUGGUUGCCAAAUUAUAAUUUCACAAUUGUUUUUGCCAAGUAAUUUUAUAAAGGUUUCAAAAAAAAAUUUCUCAUGUCAUAAUAUCCAACUUUGAAAUUCGCCAAAUAUAUAGAUGUUAAUGGCCUCUAAAUAUUUUUGAUUGUAAAUAGUCAAUACUAAUUACAAUUUACUAAAAUAAAAAUAAAAUACAUAGUUAUUUUUAAAUUUA